Molecule: ribosomal RNA, 253 nt
Filed under: uncultured bacterium
Lineage: Bacteria
Description: partial 16S ribosomal RNA
Rfam family: Bacterial small subunit ribosomal RNA
Source: RNAcentral
UACAGAGGGGGCAAGCGUUAUUCGGAAUUACUGGGCGUAAAGGGCUCGUAGGCGGCCAACUAAGUCAGACGUGAAAUCCCUCGGCUUAACCGGGGAACUGCGUCUGAUACUGGAUGGCUAGAGGUUGGGAGAGGGAUGCGGAAUUCCAGGUGUAGCGGUGAAAUGCGUAGAUAUCUGGAGGAACACCGGUGGCGAAGGCGGCAUCCUGGACCAAUUCUGACGCUGAGGAGCGAAAGCCAGGGGAGCAAACGGG